RNAcentral lists this long non-coding RNA (2403 nucleotides) under Homo sapiens (human). Its description in RNAcentral is "HSALNT0005262". The record is from RNAcentral. Lineage: Eukaryota; Metazoa; Chordata; Mammalia; Primates; Hominidae.
UCCCAGGUUCAAGCAAUUCUCCUAUCUCAGCCUCCCAAGUAGCUGGUAUUACAGGUGUGCACCACCAUCAUGCCAAGCUAAUUUUUGUAUUUUUAGUAGAGACAGGGUUUCACUAUGUUGGCCAGACUGGUCUCCAACUCCUGGACUCAAGUGAUCUGCCUGCCUCAGCCUCCCAAAGUGCUGGGAUUACAGGCACGAGCCACCACGCCUGGCCCUAUUUUUUUAUUUUAGCUAUUCUCACAAGUAUGUAAUGGUAUCUCAUCAUGGUCUUAAUUUUCCUAAUGGAUAGUUAUGUUAACAUUCUUUCACGUGUUUAUUUGCCUUCUGUAUAUUCUCUUUGGGGAAAUAUCUUAAGUUUUUUUUUUUUUUGCACAUUUUCUAAUGGGAUUAUCUGGUGUUUUUCUUACUGUUGAGAUUUGAGUGUUUUGUUUUGUUUUGUUUUGUUGUUUUUUUUUUGAGACAGAGUCUUGCUCUGCCACCCAGGCUGGACUGGAAUGCAGUGGCUCUCGCUGCAAGCUCCGCCUCCCAGAUUCAUGUCAUUCUCCCGCCUCAGCCUCCUGAGUAGCUGGGACCACAAGCACCUGCCACCACACCCAGCUAAUUUUUUUGUAUUUUUAGUAGAGAUGGGGUUUCACCGUGUUAGCCAGGAUGGUCUCAAUCUCCUGACCUCGUGAUCCGCCCGCCUCGGCCUCCCAAAAUGCUGGGAUUCCAGGCCUGAGCCACCACGCCCAACCUUUUUUUUUUUUUUUUUUUUUGAGACAGAGUCUAGCUCUGUAGCCCAGGCUGGAGUGCAGUGGUGCAAUCUCGGCUCCCUGCAACCUCUGCCUCCUGGGUUCAGGUGAUUCUCGUGCCUCAGCCUCUUGAAUAGCUGGGAUUACAGGCAUGCACAACCGUGCCCAGCUAAUUUUUGUAUUUUUAGCAGAGAUUGGGUUUUACCAUAUUGGCCAGGCUGGUCUCAAACUCCCGGCCUCAAGUGAUCUGCCUGCCUUGGCCUCCCAAUGUGCUGGUAUUACAGGAGUGAGCCACAAUGCCCGGCCUUGAGUGUUCUUUAUAUAUAUUCUAAAUAUAAGUCCUUUGUCAGAUAUAUGGUUUGCAAAUAUUUUCUCUCACUUUGUAGUUUGUCUUUUCAUCCUCUUAAUGGGGUCUUUCACAGAGCAAAAGUUUGUAAUUUUGAUGAAGUCCAAUUAUGUAUAUAUUUUUUCUUUUAUGGUUCUUGCUUUUGGCAUCAUGUCUGAGAACUUUUCCCUGAGCCCUGGGGAAAGACUCCUAGGUCCUGAUGAUUUUCUUCUAUCUUGUCUUCUAAACAUCUUAUAACUUUACAGUUUACAUUUAAACCUGUUCCAUUUUAAGUUAAUUUUUGUAUAAGGCAUGAGGUUUAGGUUGGUUGCUUUUUUUUUUAAUGGUCACUUUUACAUUUUUAUUUUACUUUUUUUUUUUUUCAGCAGCAUUCAUGCAACCUCUGCCUCCUGGGUUCAAAUGAUUCUUGUACCUCAGCCUCAAGAAUAGCUGGGAUUACAGUUGCAUGCCACCAUAUCUGGCUAAUUUUUUUGUAUUUUUAGCAGAGAUGGGGUAUUGUCAUGUUGGUCAGGCUGGUCUUGGACUCCUGGCCUCAAGUGAUCCGCCUGUCUCAGCCUCCCAAAGUGCUAGGAUUACAAGCAUGAGCCGCUGCACCCAGCCUAGAUCUCUGUAUUCAUCAGAACUAAGGCAAUUAAAGGAAUUGUCUUAUUGUGGGGGCUGGCAAAUCUGAAUCUGCAGAACUGGCCAGCAAGCUAAAGACCCAGGGAAGAGUUGAUGUUGCAGUUCAAGUCUGAACAAGUCUGAAGGCAGUCUAGAUGCAGAAUUAUUGCUUCCUUGGUGGCUCUCCAUCUUUUCCAUCUUUUAUAAUUUUUUUUUUUUAACAGAAUCUUGCUCUGUUAUCCAGGCUGGAGUGCAGUAACUUAUCACAGUCUACUGGUGUUGACAUUUUACCAGUUUGAGUGAAAGGUAGAAACAUUACCUCUAUACCUCUGGAAAGUUCUACCAGAUUACAAAUAAAGAAAGAAACCUUUUUCUGUGUCCUUUUACUCUCCCAUUAUAAUGUAACUAUCUUAAGUAUUUCCUCUACAUAUAUGGACAGCCACUUAGACAAGCGUAAUUUUUGCUUCAACUGUUGAACAUAAUUUAGAAUACUCAAGAGGAAAAAGACAAUCUAUUGUAUUGACCUGUAUGUUUGCUCUUUUUGUCCUUUUUUCCUGCCUGAUGUUCCAAGAUUCCUUUUGUUACCACUCCCUUUGUUUAGAGAAUUGCCUUUAGUAAUCCCUAUAAAGUAAAUCUGCCAGUGACAAAUUCCCUUAGUUUUUCCCUCAUGUAAGAAUGUCAUGAUUUCCUCCCCCACAGCCCUUCCCCCCAAUUCCUGAAGGAUUG